This 378-nucleotide unclassified non-coding RNA is filed under the name plant metagenome. RNAcentral's name for it is "partial contains 5.8S ribosomal RNA, internal transcribed spacer 2, and large subunit ribosomal RNA". The stretch from base 1 to 105 matches the Rfam family "5.8S ribosomal RNA", at positions 50 to 154 of the family's 154-position model. The record is from RNAcentral.
GAAAUGCGAUAAGUAAUGUGAAUUGCAGAAUUCAGUGAAUCAUCGAAUCUUUGAACGCACCUUGCGCUCCUUGGUAUUCCUUGGAGCAUGCCUGUUUGAGUAUCAUGAAAUCUUCAAAGUAAAUCUUUUGUUAACUCAAUUGGUUUCUACUUUGGUAUUGGAGGUCUUUGCAGCUUCACACCUGCUCCUCUUUGUUCAUUAGCUGGAUCUCAGUGUUAUGCUUGGUUCCACUCGGCGUGAUAAGUUAUCUAUCGCUGAGGACACUGUAAAAGGUGGCCAAGGUAAAUGCAGAUGAUCCGCUUCUAAUAGUCCAUUUACUUGGACAAUACUUUUAUGAUCUGAUCUCAAAUCAGGUAGGACUACCCGCUGAACUUAAGC